GCGCCUGUAGUUCAAUGGUAGAACUGUAGCCUUCCAAGCUACUAGUGUCAGUUCGAUUCUGACCAGGCGCU
Molecule: transfer RNA, 71 nt
Filed under: Chlamydiales bacterium 38-26
Lineage: Bacteria; Pseudomonadati; Chlamydiota; Chlamydiia; Chlamydiales
Also listed under: 2 other names
Description: tRNA-Gly
Rfam family: tRNA
About the family: Transfer RNA (tRNA) molecules are approximately 80 nucleotides in length. Their secondary structure includes four short double-helical elements and three loops (D, anti-codon, and T loops).
Source: RNAcentral